GGGCGCGUAGCUCAGUUGGUUAGAGCGCUACGUUGACAUCGUAGAGGUCACAGGUUCGAAUCCUGUCGCGCCCA
This 74-nucleotide transfer RNA is filed under the name bacterium. Its description in RNAcentral is "tRNA-Val". It matches the Rfam family "tRNA". From Rfam's summary of the family: Transfer RNA (tRNA) molecules are approximately 80 nucleotides in length. Their secondary structure includes four short double-helical elements and three loops (D, anti-codon, and T loops). The record is from RNAcentral. RNAcentral also lists the same sequence under 9 other names.